GACGAACGCUGGCGGCGUGCUUAACACAUGCAAGUCGAACGGAAAGGCCCUGCUUUUGUGGGGUGCUCGAGUGGCGAACGGGUGAGUAACACGUGAGUAACCUGCCCUUGACUUUGGGAUAACUUCAGGAAACUGGGGCUAAUACCGGAUAGGAGCUCCUGCUGGAUGGUGGGGGUUGGAAAGUUUCGGCGGUUGGGGAUGGACUCGCGGCUUAUCAGCUUGUUGGUGGGGUAGUGGCUUACCAAGGCUUUGACGGGUAGCCGGCCUGGGAGGGUGACCGGCCACAUUGGGACUGAGAUACGGCCCAGACUCCUACGGGAGGCAGCAGUGGGGAAUAUUGCACAAUGGGCGGAAGCCUGAUGCAGCAACGCCGCGUGCGGGAUGACGGCCUUCGGGUUGUAAACCGCUUUCGCCUGUGACGAAGCGUGAGUGACGGUAAUGGGUAAAGAAGCACCGGCUAACUACGUG
Molecule: ribosomal RNA, 468 nt
Filed under: uncultured bacterium
Lineage: Bacteria
Description: partial 16S ribosomal RNA
Rfam family: Bacterial small subunit ribosomal RNA
Source: RNAcentral